Molecule: ribosomal RNA, 327 nt
Filed under: uncultured archaeon
Lineage: Archaea
Description: bacterial SSU rRNA
Rfam family: Archaeal small subunit ribosomal RNA
Source: RNAcentral
CCCUACGGGGCGCAGCAGGCGCGAAAACUUUACAAUGCCGGCAACGGCGAUAAGGGGACCUCGAGUGCCAGGUUACAAAUCUGGCUGUCGUGAUGCCUAAAAAGCAUUGCAUAGCAAGGGCCGGGCAAGACCGGUGCCAGCCGCCGCGGUAACACCGGCGGCUCGAGUGGUAACCGUUAUUAUUGGGUCUAAAGGGUCUGUAGCCGGCCGGAUAAGUCUCUUGGGAAAUCCAGCAGCUCAACUGUUGGGCUUUCAGGAGAUACUGUCUGGCUCGAGGCCGGGAGAGGUGAGAGGUACUUCAGGGGUAGGGGUGAAAUCCUGUAAUCC